RNAcentral lists this ribosomal RNA (538 nucleotides) under uncultured Glomeromycotina. Its description in RNAcentral is "SSU rRNA". It matches the Rfam family "Eukaryotic small subunit ribosomal RNA", at positions 569 to 1111 of the family's 1831-position model. Lineage: Eukaryota; Fungi; Glomeromycota. The record is from RNAcentral.
AGCAGCCGCGGUAAUUCCAGCUCCAAUAGCGUAUAUUAAAGUUGUUGCAGUUAAAAAGCUCGUAGUUGAAUUUCGGGGUUAGUAGGUUGGUCAUGCCUCUGGUAUGUACUGGUCUCACUGAUUCCUCCUUCCUGAUGAGCCGUAAUGCCAUUAAUUUGGUGUUGCGGGGAAUUUGGACUGUUACUUUGAAAAAAUUAGAGUGUUUAAAGCAAGCUAACGCUUGAAUACAUUAGCAUGGAAUAAUGAAAUAGGACGUUCGAUCCUAUUUUGUUGGUUUCUAGGAUUGACGUAAUGAUUAAUAGGGAUAGUUGGGGGCAUUAGUAUUCAAUUGUCAGAGGUGAAAUUCUUGGAUCGUCGCAAGACGAACUACUGCGAAAGCAUUUGCCAAGAAUGUUUUCAUUAAUCAAGAACGAAAGUUAGAGGUUCGAAGGCGAUCAGAUACCGCCCUAGUUCUAACCGUAAACGAUGCCAACUAGCGAUCUGUGGAGCAUAAUUUUAUGACUCCACAGGAAGCUUCCGGGAAACCAAAGUGUUUGGG